UACGGAGGGUGCAAGCGUUGCUCGGAAUUAUUGGGCUUAAAGGGUAUGUAGGUGGUCUCAUUUGUCUGGGGUGAAAGCCUUGAGCUUAACUCAAGAAGUGCCCCAGAAACGGUGAGACUAGAGUUCUGGAGAGGGUCGUGGAAUUCCCGGUGUAGCGGUGAAAUGCGUAGAGAUCGGGAGGAACACCAGAGGCGAAGGCGGCGACCUGGACAGAUACUGACACUCAACUACGAAAGCGUGGGGAGCAAACAGG
This 253-nucleotide ribosomal RNA is filed under the name uncultured bacterium. RNAcentral describes it as "partial 16S ribosomal RNA". It matches the Rfam family "Bacterial small subunit ribosomal RNA", at positions 524 to 776 of the family's 1533-position model. The record is from RNAcentral.